Neofelis nebulosa (Clouded leopard) is the source of this 283-nucleotide long non-coding RNA. RefSeq lists it as uncharacterized. Lineage: Eukaryota; Metazoa; Chordata; Mammalia; Carnivora; Felidae. The record is from RefSeq and is a predicted model, not a curated record. The transcript has 2 exons.
AACACAAGAAUUGAAAGUGUUAGAGAAGGUCUAUAGGACUCUGAAGACCAAAACCCCAAUGUAGAAAGAUGGGGAGAGUGAAAUCAGAAACAUCCAAGAAUGGACCUUGCUUUCAGAAGAAAUAACAGUUUGCAGUUAGCAUUAUAUGCUUUGGGUAAUUAAUUUCAUAAUUCAAGGUGUUAAGCUAGCAUUCCCAAACUGAAUCCUGAGGAAUUCUUGGAAUAUUAUAUAAGGAAAGAAGAAUCCUAUGGUCAAAAUAUCUGAGAAACCUUAAACUGAGCAG